CACUUCCGCUGAAGAUCUCGCGAGAUCAAGUUUCCUUGGCAACAGUACACCGUGUUUUCAUGGAGAGGUCAGAGCGACAAAAGAUUCAACUCGCAACCAACCAGCCAUACGACGAGAGUUUUGAGGUGAAUGCAGAGGAGGCAGCCAGUGUGCACACACCAUCCCCAAGACAGAUAGUUUCUAGGAGGACAGGCAGGCAGAAGCAGAGUGCCAUGGCCACUUAUGCUGGCGA
This is a long non-coding RNA of Sinocyclocheilus grahami, 232 nucleotides long. RefSeq lists it as uncharacterized. The record is from RefSeq and is a predicted model, not a curated record. NCBI's taxonomy places the organism in Eukaryota, Metazoa, Chordata, Actinopteri, Cypriniformes, Cyprinidae. The transcript is spliced from 3 exons.